This 431-nucleotide ribosomal RNA is filed under the name uncultured bacterium. RNAcentral's name for it is "bacterial SSU rRNA". It matches the Rfam family "Bacterial small subunit ribosomal RNA", at positions 29 to 506 of the family's 1533-position model. The record is from RNAcentral.
ACGAACGCUGGCGGCAGGCCUAACACAUGCAAGUCGAACGAGGUAGCAAUACCUAGUGGCGCACGGGUGAGUAACGCGUGGGAACAUGCCCUUUAGUUUGGAAUAACACCGGGAAACUGGUGCUAAUACCAGAUACGCCCUUCGGGGGAAAGAUUUAUCGCUAAAGGAUUGGCCCGCGUUGGAUUAGCUAGUUGGUGAGGUAAUGGCUCACCAAGGCUACGAUCUAUAGCUGGUCUGAGAGGACGGCCAGCCACACUGGAACUGAGACACGGUCCAGACUCCUACGGGAGGCAGCAGUGGGGAAUAUUGGACAAUGGGGGAAACCCUGAUCCAGCCAUGCCGCGUGAGUGAUGGAGGCCUUAGGGUUGUAAAGCUCUUUUAGCAGGGAAGAUGAUGACGGUACCUGCAGAAUAAGCACCGGCUAACUUCGU